AAAACAAUACCAAAGUGAACAAAAAGUCUGAAGAAAUAUCGUUUCACACGACCUACCGGAUGAGUCUAAAAUCAGUCGUUAACCAAGAUUCAAUCUUUGAUACACCUAGAAAACAUAAACUAAGAGAAAAGUUUAAAAAAAAAUUUGAACUUUAUUUAAAAAAUAAUUGUGUUUGCUCGCAAACGAAAAAAAAAAAGACUUCAAUUUCAUCGACGAGUAAUACAACGUAGAUCGAAGAAAAAAUAGUCAAGUAACUA
RNAcentral lists this unclassified non-coding RNA (257 nucleotides) under Melitaea cinxia (Glanville fritillary). RNAcentral's name for it is "misc RNA ENSMCXG00005004670.1". Lineage: Eukaryota; Metazoa; Arthropoda; Insecta; Lepidoptera; Nymphalidae. The record is from RNAcentral.